UCGAGAAUCAUUCGCAAUGGGCGAAAGCCUGACGAUGCGACGCUGUGUGAGCGAUGAAGGCCUUCGGGUCGUAAAGCUCUUUCGCUUGGGAACAAGAGAUGCUGGCUAAUAUCCAGCAAAUUUGAGGGUACCGAGUAAAGAAGCACCGGCUAACUACGUGCCAGCAGCUGCGGUAAUACGUAGGGUGCAAGCAUUAAUCGGAUUUAUUGGGCGUAAAGGACGCGUAGGCUGUUUUGUAAGUCGAGUGUGAAAUUCCGGGGCUCAACCUCGGAGCUGCACUGGAAACUACAUAACUAGAGGGUAGAAGGAGAAAACGGAAUUCCACAAGUAGCGGUGAAAUGCGUAGAUAUGUGGAAGAACACCGGUGGCGAAGGCGGUUUUCUAUUUUAUUCCUGACGCU
RNAcentral lists this ribosomal RNA (400 nucleotides) under uncultured bacterium. Its description in RNAcentral is "bacterial SSU rRNA". It matches the Rfam family "Bacterial small subunit ribosomal RNA", at positions 355 to 747 of the family's 1533-position model. The record is from RNAcentral.